ACGUAGGAGGCAAGCGUUAUCCGGAUUCACUGGGCGUAAAGCGCGUGCAGGCGGUUCGGUAAGUUGGGCGUGAAAUCUCCUGGCUUAACUAGGAGAGGUCGUUCAAUACUACCGGACUUGAGAGUGAUAGAGGAAGAUGGAAUUCCCGGUGUAGUGGUGAAAUGCGUAGAUAUCGGGAGGAACACCAGUGGCGAAAGCGAUCUUCUGGAUCAUUUCUGACGCUCAGACGCGAAAGCUAGGGUAGUAAACGGGAUUAGAGACCCCGGUAAUCCUAGCCGUAAACGAUGUAAACUUGGCGUCGGCGGCUUAAACUCCGUCGGUGCCGCAGCUAACGCGAUAAGUUUACCGCCUGGGGACUACGAUCGCAAGAUUA
This 373-nucleotide ribosomal RNA is filed under the name uncultured bacterium. RNAcentral's name for it is "bacterial SSU rRNA". It matches the Rfam family "Bacterial small subunit ribosomal RNA", at positions 525 to 896 of the family's 1533-position model. The record is from RNAcentral.